AUUCUUACCUGGCAAGGGAGAUACCAUGGUCACAAAGGUGGCUUUCCCAGGGGCAGGCUUAGCCAUUGCAUUCCGAUGUGCUAUGAUUUUCCCAAAUGAGGGAAACUUUACUGCAUAAUCUGUGGUGUAGUGGGCUGCAUUCACACUUUCCCCUG
Molecule: small nuclear RNA, 155 nt
Filed under: Sorex araneus (European shrew)
Lineage: Eukaryota; Metazoa; Chordata; Mammalia; Eulipotyphla; Soricidae
Description: U1 spliceosomal RNA (ENSSARG00000016004.1)
Rfam family: U1 spliceosomal RNA
About the family: U1 is a small nuclear RNA (snRNA) component of the spliceosome (involved in pre-mRNA splicing). Its 5' end forms complementary base pairs with the 5' splice junction, thus defining the 5' donor site of an intron.
Source: RNAcentral